UUCUGAGGAUGCCCCCUACCCUGUCUGUACCGUGCGGUACUUCCCUAGCACAGCCGAGCACACCCUGCAGUGGGCCCGGCAUGAGUUUGAAGAACUCUUCCGACUGUCUGCAGAGACCAUCAACCACCACCAACAGGCACACACUUCCCUGGCAGACAUGGAUGAGCCACAGACACUCACCUUACUGAAGCCAGUGCUUGGGGUCCUGAGAGUGCGUCCACAGAACUGGCAAGACUGUGUGGCGUGGGCUCUUGGCCACUGGAAACUCUGCUUUCAUUAUGGCAUCAAACAGCUGCUGAGGCACUUCCCACCUAAUAAAGUGUGUGGCUAGGGGUUGGGACGCUGGGGGCUCAGGGGGACCAGACUGAGCCCAGCAGCUUCUACUUACCUACCUAGGUGCUUGAGGAUGGAACUCCCUUCUGGUCAGGUCCCAAACAGUGUCCCCAGCCCUUGGAGUUUGACACCAACCAAGUGAGUGGGAUUCUGUAGGGAGCUCCAAGAUAGAGAUGUGGCCCCUCAGAGCAGAGGUAGGCAUUUCUGCAUUCUGCAGAGAUGCACAGAUGCCCAGAGAGAGCCAUGCUUGUGCAUAUAUGGGUGUCUACAUGUGAGGCAAAGGCAGGCACUCAAACAGAUCCACAAAUGGACAGUGACCCCCACCCCAUGCACCCAUGCCUCUGUUCCUGCUCUUGGUCUGGCUGCAGGACACACACCUCCUCUACGUACUGGCAGCUGCCAACCUGUAUGCCCAGAUGCAUGGGCUGCCUGGCUCACAGGACUGGACUGCACUCAGGGAGCUGCUGAAGCUGCUGCCACAGCCUGACCCCCAACAGAUGGCCCCCAUCUUUGCUAGUAA
RNAcentral lists this long non-coding RNA (853 nucleotides) under Homo sapiens (human). RNAcentral's name for it is "non-protein coding lnc-CDHR4-4:1". The record is from RNAcentral. Lineage: Eukaryota; Metazoa; Chordata; Mammalia; Primates; Hominidae.